CGGGCUAAAGCCCCGACGGGAGGGGAUGGCUCCGCGGCCCAUCAGGUAGACGGCGGGGUGACGGCCCACCGUGCCGACAACGGGUAGCCGGGUUGAGAGACCGACCGGCCAGAUUGGGGCUGAGACACGGCCCAGACUCCUACGGGAGGCAGCAGUGGGGAAUCUUGCGCAAUGGGGGGAACCCUGACGCAGCGACGCCGCGUGCGGGACGGAGGCCUUCGGGUCGUAAACCGCUUUCAGCAGGGAAGAGUCAAGACUGUACCUGCAGAAGAAGCCCCGGCUAACUACGUGCCAGCAGCCGCGGUAAUACGUAGGGGGCGAGCGUUAUCCGGAUUCAUUGGGCGUAAAGCGCGCGUAGGCGGCCCGGCAGGCCGGGGGUCGAAGCGGGGGGCUCAACCCCCCGAAGCCCCCGGAACCUCCGCGGCUUGGGUCCGGUAGGGGAGGGUGGAACACCCGGUGUAGCGGUGGAAUGCGCAGAUAUCGGGUGGAACACCGGUGGCGAAGGCGGCCCUCUGGGCCGAGACCGACGCUGAGGCGCGAAAGCUGGGGGAGCGAACAGGAUUAGAUACCCUGGUAGUCCCAGCCGU
This 587-nucleotide ribosomal RNA is filed under the name uncultured bacterium. Its description in RNAcentral is "bacterial SSU rRNA". It matches the Rfam family "Bacterial small subunit ribosomal RNA", at positions 197 to 803 of the family's 1533-position model. The record is from RNAcentral.